Molecule: ribosomal RNA, 815 nt
Filed under: uncultured Actinomycetes bacterium
Lineage: Bacteria; Bacillati; Actinomycetota; Actinomycetes
Description: bacterial SSU rRNA
Rfam family: Bacterial small subunit ribosomal RNA
Source: RNAcentral
ACUCCUACGGGAGGCAGCAGUGGGGAAUAUUGCACAAUGGGCGAAAGCCUGAUGCAGCAACGCCGCGUGAGGGAUGACGGCCUUCGGGUUGUAAACCUCUUUUAGUAAGGAAGAAGAGUGACGGUACUUGCAGAAAAAGCACCGGCUAACUACGUGCCAGCAGCCGCGGUAAUACGUAGGGUGCAAGCGUUGUCCGGAAUUAUUGGGCGUAAAGAGCUCGUAGGCGGUUUGUCGCGUCUGCUGUGAAAUCUGGAGGCUCAACCUCCAGCUUGCAGUGGGUACGGGCAGACUAGAGUGCGGUAGGGGAGAUUGGAAUUCCUGGUGUAGCGGUGGAAUGCGCAGAUAUCAGGAGGAACACCGAUGGCGAAGGCAGAUCUCUGGGCCGUAACUGACGCUGAGGAGCGAAAGCAUGGGGAGCGAACAGGAUUAGAUACCCUGGUAGUCCAUGCCGUAAACGUUGGGAACUAGAUGUAGGGGCCAUUCCACGGUUUCUGUGUCGCAGCUAACGCAUUAAGUUCCCCGCCUGGGGAGUACGGCCGCAAGGCUAAAACUCAAAGGAAUUGACGGGGGCCCGCACAAGCGGCGGAGCAUGCGGAUUAAUUCGAUGCAACGCGAAGAACCUUACCAAGGCUUGACAUGAACGAGAACGGGCCAGAAAUGGUCAACUCUUUGGACUCGUUUACAGGUGGUGCAUGGUUGUCGUCAGCUCGUGUCGUGAGAUGUUGGGUUAAGUCCCGCAACGAGCGCAACCCUCGUUCUAUGUUGCCAGCACGUUAUGGUGGGAACUCAUAGGAGACUGCCGGGGUCAACUCGGA